AUUGAACGCUGGCGGCAUGCCUUACACAUGCAAGUCGAACGGCAGCGGGGGAGAAGCUUGCUUUUCCUGCCGGCGAGUGGCGAACGGGUGAGUAAUACAUCGGAACGUGCCCUGUAGUGGGGGAUAACUAGUCGAAAGAUUAGCUAAUACCGCAUACGACCUGAGGGUGAAAGUGGGGGACCGCAAGGCCGCAUGCUAUAGGAGCGGCCGAGGUCUGAUUAGCUAGUUGGUGGGGUAAAGGCCUACCAAGGCGACGAUCAGUAGCUGGUCUGAGAGGACGAUCAGCCACACUGGGACUGAGACACGGCCCAGACUCCUACGGGAGGCAGCAGUGGGGAAUUUUGGACAAUGGGCGAAAGCCUGAUCCAGCAAUGCCGCGUGUGUGAAGAAGGCCUUCGGGUUGUAAAGCACUUUUGUCCGGAAAGAAAUGGCUCUGGUUAAUACCUGGGGUCGAUGACGGUACCGGAAGAAUAAGGACCGGCUAACUACGUGCCAGCAGCCGCCGUAA
Molecule: ribosomal RNA, 508 nt
Filed under: uncultured bacterium
Lineage: Bacteria
Description: partial 16S ribosomal RNA
Rfam family: Bacterial small subunit ribosomal RNA
Source: RNAcentral